GCAUGUCAUAACUGUUGAGUCCAAGUUGUUAUCAGGAAGACGGUGAAGAUAACAGUUAUGAAUUCGAACAUUUUGAUAAUUUUAUUUGUUGAGCGAUGUAAUCUCCUGUUCUUUGACUAAAGUUUUAAUUGUGCUUCUCAAAGGUAGUGACACAAUUCAAAUUAUAUACUAAUGUAUAUGUGGGCUUUCUGGUUAAUAACCAAAUAAAAAUGUUGCGUAAUUUGGUGUUCUUGCAGAAGGAAUGUAUUUUCGCUGAUUUCAGUGAAUAAAUAGGAAACAUGAGCCAGAAACACGCCUUCUGUAACUUUGUUGACUUGUACUACUUUGUCUCUAAUAAUCUAAAUUGUUUUUGGUUAUCGGGACACAAAACGGGAGAGUCGAAUAUCUGGACUUGGAUUGGACGGAAAACUGCGCAUGCGUGUUAUGCAUCGACGCUGUUCCAACUGUUGGGGCUAUGUGGCUUCUAGAAAAGUGGAAGGUGACCAUCAACAGAUUUGAGAGGAUAGAGGCUGAACUCUUUUCAAGGAACUUCAAAUUUUCUGUCGUACAGACAUUCGUCAAGAUUAAUCUGCGGGUCAUCAGCGUUACUGGCCUUCAUUGUUAGUGGCAGGUUCUGGUUUGAACCAUUUGGUUCCAUCACCGGAAAGUUAUGUGGUUACAAAAGUUCAGAUAAUUCAGUUGGAUAUUAUAGCCUGAUGAUGGAAGCAGCAAGCACCCGUGAAACAUCAGUAUACUUCAACCAGACUAUCCCAAAAGUUCGUCAUCUUUAUACUCACUGCCAUGAAACCUUGAACUCUCAUCUAUUCAAGUUGUGUGUGGAUUCUGUAAGGAACUUACCUCCAGCAGGGCAAUGCUGGUUGCAGCAUGAGGAGAGAGAGUAAUGCCAUUCUCUUCAGGCAGAGGCUGGAGACCAAUGCUAUGGACGACAAGCCGAGCUCCUGCCUGUGGGCUCAGUCCUGCUCCCAGGCAUCUUCAGUUUUGCACUUAAAUAAUAUAAAUACUGAAUUAUGAAGACAGCAUUAAUGGGUGCCAUGCAAAAUGUUUUAAUGCAAUGUGAAUGAUGAGGGAAAUAUUGUGAAUUUACAUGAAGAUGUAAAAUCAUGAAAAUCAUUGCUUAGGGAGACUGGUGUCCAUGAAAAGUCCACAUGACAGCUGGUGAGCAUAUGAAGUUCCAGCAGGCGUGUUCCCAGCUCUGUACCCCAGUGCUUGGCUGCAAGUUUUCGCAGGUUUAUUUAACAAGGACAGUGGAAAAGGUGGGUGGGUGGAACUGAAUUGAUUUAUGCGACUCUCAGACAAGAGCGAGGUUAUUGGCUGGAAACAUCCUACAAAGAACUCAGUCUGGUCUGUGGCGAUAUUCAUAUAAUAAUAUGAUAAUUUAUUAAUUCUUAAUUCCUUAGAUAUACAUACAAGAAAGAGAGUACUGAAACACAUAAAUAAAUAUUAUAGAUAAAAACCUAGAUUUGGUAGGCAUUCAAGUUAUUGGGCCUGUAGUAAAUGUCUUCAUUGUCAUUUAUUAUACCUGUGAGGAAGGCAUACUCCAGUUUCCGCUUAAGCAUGUUCUAACAGUUUUGAAACACCAAUCAAUGUAUAGAAU
Non-coding RNA from Zootermopsis nevadensis, 1594 nucleotides. Lineage: Eukaryota; Metazoa; Arthropoda; Insecta; Blattodea; Termopsidae. The record is from RefSeq and is a predicted model, not a curated record.